Molecule: long non-coding RNA, 1159 nt
Organism: Oncorhynchus tshawytscha (Chinook salmon)
Lineage: Eukaryota; Metazoa; Chordata; Actinopteri; Salmoniformes; Salmonidae
Source: Ensembl
CACUCUAACCUUAAAUCCUAACCCCUAGCCUAAAUAACGUUAUUGUUAGUCACCUAGCUAACUUUAUUGUUAGCCACCUAGCUAACAUUAAUAUUAGCCACCUAACUAACUUUAUUGUUAGCCACCUAGCUAACUUUAUUGUUAGCCACCUAGCGGACAUUAUUGUUAGCCAUCUAGCGAACAUUAGCAACAACUAAUUGCAAUUCAUAACAUAUCAAACGUAAAAGAUGAUGAACAUCCACAAAUUAAUAUUUACCAUAUGAAACAUCAUGCUAACUAGAGUGUUCUGGAUUUACAUUUAGCAUGUUACGUCUACCCCUGAGACCAGGUUGAAAGGGCCAACUUGUCUUACAGCAGUGGACGAGGGCCCAGUCGCCGAGCUGCACACACACGGACUUCCGUUUAUGGCCCUAUCGUUUUAAUUAAGGUUGGUUUCUCUAAUGGCCCUCCAUCUCUGGACCUAAAGGUUGCAUUGAGAGCGGUCACUGUCACACAGCUGUACAGGGUGAGUAGGGUGACGGCGCUGUUUUGAAGGACUUGGGGUAAAAGUACAGCUUGGUACAAUGGAACAAUUUGGAGAUGUACAAACACAGUGAAAAUUCUCCAUCGUCUGUUGGGUGCAUUUAGGGUAUUCCUGAAGUUUCAUUUGGAUAAAGGUGUAUGAAAGACAAGUAGUGACAACUUCAUAGAACAACACAAUAUACUCCUCUUGAUGAAAGAUCGGGGCGGAGGGAAGAUACAGCUAAAAUAAUGUUUUUAGCCUUGGCGGCCAUCUUUAGAAUUUGACAGGAAACGCAGAAACAUACACUUGAAGGGAGAGUGAGGUUGUUAGAGCAGCAUGUAUACCUCUAAUGGUCUAACCACAGGGUAACUACAGUUUUUACAACCCCUUGAAAUGCUCCAACCUAUGCACAAAACGUCUAACUGCAGCUGUCCCUAACUACUCGCUUCUUCUCCCUUCCUCACUCUCUCUCUUUUUCUAUUCCUCUUCAAUCCCUCGCUGUCUGCUCUCUCUCUCUGCACUCUCUCUCCAUCUGCACUAUCUGUCUAUCUAUCUGUCUAUCUAUCUGUCUAUCUAUCUAUCUAUCUAUCUGUCUGUCUGUCUGUCUGUCUGUCUGUCUGUCUGUCUGUCUGUCUGUCUGUCUGUCUGUCUGUCUGU